CCUUGACAUGUCUGGAAUGCCGAAGAGAUUUGGCAGUGCUCGCAAGAGAACCGGAACACAGGUGCUGCAUGGCUGUCGUCAGCUCGUGUCGUGAGAUGUUGGGUUAAGUCCCGCAACGAGCGCAACCCUUGUCAUUAGUUGCUACGAAAGGGCACUCUAAUGAGACUGCCGGUGACAAACCGGAGGAAGGUGGGGAUGACGUCAAGUCCUCAUGGCCCUUAUGGGUAGGGCUUCACACGUCAUACAAUGGUCGGGACAGAGGGUCGCCAACCCGCGAGGGGGAGCCAAUCCCAGAAACCCGAUCGUAGUCCGGAUUGCAGGCUGCAACUCGCCUGCAUGAAGUCGGAAUCGCUAGUAAUCGCGGAUCAGCAUGUCGCGGUGAAUACGUUCCCGGGUCUU
This 399-nucleotide ribosomal RNA is filed under the name uncultured Achromobacter sp. RNAcentral describes it as "bacterial SSU rRNA". It matches the Rfam family "Bacterial small subunit ribosomal RNA", at positions 979 to 1382 of the family's 1533-position model. The record is from RNAcentral. Lineage: Bacteria; Pseudomonadati; Pseudomonadota; Betaproteobacteria; Burkholderiales; Alcaligenaceae.